RNAcentral lists this ribosomal RNA (403 nucleotides) under bacterium. Its description in RNAcentral is "partial 16S ribosomal RNA". It matches the Rfam family "Bacterial small subunit ribosomal RNA", at positions 355 to 776 of the family's 1533-position model. The record is from RNAcentral.
UGGGGAAUAUUGCACAAUGGGGGAAACCCUGAUGAAGCGACGCCGCGUGAACGAAGAAGGUAUUCGUAUCGUAAAGUUCUGUCCUAUGGGAAGAUAAUGACAGUACCAUAGAAGAAAGCUCCGGCUAAAUACGUGCCAGCAGCCGCGGUAAUACGUAUGGAGCGAGCGUUGUCCGGAAUUAUUGGGCGUAAAGGGUACGCAGGCGGUUUAAUAAGUCGAAUGUUAAAGAUCGGGGCUCAACCCCGCAAAGCAUUGGAAACUGAUAAACUUGAGUAGUGGAGAGGAAAGUGGAAUUCCUAGUGUAGUGGUGAAAUACGUAGAUAUUAGGAGGAAUACCAGUAGCGAAGGCGACUUUCUGGACACAAACUGACGCUGAGGUACGAAAGCGUGGGGAGCAAACAGG